GGAAAAGAAACCAACAGGGAUCGCCUUAGUAGCGGCGAGUGAAGCGGCAAAAGCUCAAAUUUGAAAUCUGGCUCUUUCAGAGUCCGAGUUGUAAUUUGAAGAAGGUAUCUUUGGGUCUGGCUCUUGUCUAUGUUUCUUGGAACAGAACGUCACAGAGGGUGAGAAUCCCGUGCGAUGAGAUGAUCCAGGCCUAUGUAAAGUUCCUUCGAAGAGUCGAGUUGUUUGGGAAUGCAGCUCUAAGUGGGUGGUAAAUUCCAUCUAAAGCUAAAUAUUGGCGAGAGACCGAUAGCGAACAAGUACAGUGAUGGAAAGAUGAAAAGAACUUUGAAAAGAGAGUGAAAAAGUACGUGAAAUUGUUG
This 359-nucleotide ribosomal RNA is filed under the name Bacillus sp. CBEL-1. RNAcentral describes it as "partial 23S ribosomal RNA". It matches the Rfam family "Eukaryotic large subunit ribosomal RNA", at positions 55 to 410 of the family's 3401-position model. Lineage: Bacteria; Bacillati; Bacillota; Bacilli; Caryophanales; Bacillaceae. The record is from RNAcentral.